RNAcentral lists this ribosomal RNA (699 nucleotides) under uncultured bacterium. RNAcentral describes it as "partial 16S ribosomal RNA". The record is from RNAcentral.
UACGGUUACCUUGUUACGACUUCAUCCCAGUCACCAAUCCCACCUUCGGCAGCUCCUUCCCCAAGGGGUUAGGCCACUGACUUCGGGUGUUACCGACUUCCGUGAUGUGACGGGCGGUGUGUACAAGCCCCGAGAACGUAUUCACCGUGGCUUUGCUGAUCCACGAUUACUAGCGACUCCGGCUUCAUGGAGUCGAGUUGCAGACUCCAAUCCGAACUGAGGACGACUUUACGGGAUUGGCUGACCCUCGCGGGAUCGCAGCCCAUUGUAUCGCCCAUUGUAGCAUGCGUGCAGCCCUGGAUAUAAGGGGCAUGAUGACUUGACAUCGUCCUCGCCUUCCUCCGAGUUGUCCCCGGCAGUCUCCCAUGAGUCCCCACCAUUACGUGCUGGCAACAUAGGACAAGGGUUGCGCUCGUUGCGGGACUUAACCCAACAUCUCACGACACGAGCUGACGACAGCCAUGCACCACCUGUCAUGGGCGCUUACGCACACUGUGUUUCCACAGCUAGACCCAUGAUGUCAAGCCCAGGUAAGGUUCUUCGGGUUGCAUCGAAUUAAGCCGCAUGCUCCGCCGCUUGUGCGGGGCCCCGUCAAUUCCUUUGAGUUUUAGCCUUGCGGCCGUACUCCCCAGGCGGAACACUUAAUGCGUUAGCUACGACACAGCAGACAUGAAUCAGUCCGCUACAUCUAGUGGUCAU